AAGACCUAGCAAUAGGUAUGCUUAGGGAGGAGCUUGCGUCACAUUAGUUAGUUGGUGGGGUAAAGGCCUACCAAGACUAUGAUGUGUAGCCGGGCUGAGAGGUUGAACGGCCACAUUGGGACUGAGACACGGCCCAAACUCCUACGGGAGGCAGCAGUAGGGAAUUUUCGGCAAUGGAGGAAACUCUGACCGAGCAACGCCGCGUGAACGAUGAAGUAUUUCGGUACGUAAAGUUCUUUUAUUAGGGAAGAAUAAAUGAUGGAAAAAUCAUUCUGACGGUACCUAAUGAAUAAGCCCCGGCUAACUAUGUGCCAGCAGCCGCGGUAAUACAUAGGGGGCAAGCGUUAUCCGGAAUUAUUGGGCGUAAAGGGUGCGUAGGCGGUUAAAUAAGUUUAUGGUCUAAGUGCAAUGCUCAACAUUGUGAUGCUAUAAAAACUGUUUAGCUAGAGUAAGAUAGAGGCAAGUGGAAUUCCAUGUGUAGUGGUAAAAUGCGUAAAUAUAUGGAGGAACACCAGUAGCGAAGGCGGCUUGCUGGGUCUUUACUGACGCUGAGGCACGAAAGCGUGGGGAGCAAACAGGAUUAGAUACCCUGGUAGUCCACGCCGUAAACGAUGAGUACUAAACGUUGGGUAAAACCAGUGUUGAAGUUAACACAUUAAGUACUCCGCCUGAGUAGUACGUACGCAAGUAUGAAACUUAAAGGAAUUGACGGGACUCCGCACAAGCGGUGGAUCAUGUUGUUUAAUUCGAAGGUACCCGAAAAACCUCACCAGGUCUUGACAUGCUUCUGCAAAGCUGUAGAAACACAGUGGAGGUUAUCAGUUGCACAGGUGGUGCAUGGUUGUCGUCAGCUCGUGUCGUGAGAUGUUGGGUUAAGUCCCGCAACGAGCGCAACCCUUAUUGUUAGUUACCAGCACGUAAUGGUGGGGACUUUAGCAAGACUGCCAGUGAUAAAUUGGAGGAAGGUGGGGACGACGUCAAAUCAUCAUGCCCCUUAUGACCUGGGCUACAAACGUGAUACAAUGGCUGUUACAAAGGGUAGCUGAAGCGCAAGUUUUUGGCAAAUCUCAAAAAAACAGUCUCAGUUCGGAUUGAAGUCUGCAACUCGACUUCAUGAAGUUGGAAUCGCUAGUAAUCGCG
Molecule: ribosomal RNA, 1140 nt
Filed under: Poland Brassica sp. phytoplasma
Lineage: Bacteria; Bacillati; Mycoplasmatota; Mollicutes; Acholeplasmatales; Acholeplasmataceae
Description: bacterial SSU rRNA
Rfam family: Bacterial small subunit ribosomal RNA
Source: RNAcentral